RNAcentral lists this ribosomal RNA (488 nucleotides) under uncultured bacterium. RNAcentral describes it as "partial 16S ribosomal RNA". It matches the Rfam family "Bacterial small subunit ribosomal RNA", at positions 30 to 523 of the family's 1533-position model. The record is from RNAcentral.
AUUGAACGCUGGCGGCAGGCCUAACACAUGCAAGUCGAGCGGGGUUUUCGGACCUAGCGGCGGACGGGUGAGUAAUGCGUAGGAAGCUGCCCGAUAGAGGGGGAUACCAGUUGGAAACGACUGUUAAUACCGCAUAAUGUCUACGGACCAAAGUGUGGGACCUUCGGGCCACAUGCUAUCGGAUGCGCCUACGUGGGAUUAGCUAGGUGGUGAGGUAAUUGCUCACCAAGGCGACGAUCUCUAGCUGGUUUGAGAGGAUGAUCAGCCACACUGGAACUGAGACACGGUCCAGACUCCUACGGGAGGCAGCAGUGGGGAAUAUUGGACAAUGGGCGCAAGCCUGAUCCAGCCAUGCCGCGUGUGUGAAGAAGGCCUUCGGGUUGUAAAGCACUUUCAGCGAGGAGGAAGGGUGGUGUGUUAAUAGCACAUCAUUUUGACGUUACUCGCAGAAGAAGCACCGGCUAACUCUGUGCCAGCAGCCGCAGUAA